RNAcentral lists this non-coding RNA (97 nucleotides) under Staphylococcus cohnii. Its description in RNAcentral is "Glycine sequence". It matches the Rfam family "Glycine riboswitch aptamer". From Rfam's summary of the family: This family represents the bacterial glycine riboswitch. Glycine riboswitches usually consist of two metabolite-binding aptamers domains with similar structures in tandem. Lineage: Bacteria; Bacillati; Bacillota; Bacilli; Caryophanales; Staphylococcaceae. The record is from RNAcentral.
AUGACCAGUAUUAGAGAGAAUGGUUAAUCAUUUAUAUAACCAUCGCCGAAGGUGCAAGUUUAACGAAACUCUCAGGCAAAAGGAUAAUACUGAGACG